UGCAAGUCGAACGAACCUUCGGGUUAGUGGCGGACGGGUGAGUAACGCGUGAGAAUCUGCCCUCAGGAGGGGGAUAACAGCUGGAAACGGCUGCUAAUACCCCAUAUGCCGCGAGGUGAAAUGAAUUUCGCCUGAGGAUGAGCUCGCGUCUGAUUAGCUAGUUGGUGUAGGUAAUGGCUCACCAAGGCAUCGAUCAGUAGCUGGUCUGAGAGGAUGAUCAGCCACACUGGGACUGAGACGCGGCCCAGACUCCUACGGGAGGCAGCAGUGGGGAAUUUUCCGCAAUGGGCGAAAGCCUGACGGAGCAACGCCGCGUGAGGGAUGAAGGCCUCUGGGCUGUAAACCUCUUUUAUCAAGGAAGAAGAUCUGACGGUACUUGAUGAAUAAGCCACGGCUAAUUCCGUGCCAGCAGCCGCGGUAAUACGGGAGUGGCAAGCGUUAUCCGGAAUUAUUGGGCGUAAAGCGUCCGCAGGCGGCCCUUCAAGUCUGCUGUUAAAAAGUGGAGCUUAACUCCAUCAUGGCAGUGGAAACUGAGGGGCUUGAGUGUGGUAGGGGCAGAGGGAAUUCCCGGUGUAGCGGUGAAAUGCGUAGAUAUCGGGAAGAACACCAGUGGCGAAGGCGCUCUGCUGGGCCAUCACUGACGCUCAUGGACGAAAGCCAGGGGAGCGAAAGGGAUUAGAUACCCCUGUAGUCCUGGCCGUAAACGAUGAACACUAGGUGUCGGGGGAAUCGACCCCCUCGGUGUCGUAGCCAACGCGUUAAGUGUUCCGCCUGGGGAGUACGCACGCAAGUGUGAAACUCAAAGGAAUUGACGGGGGCCCGCACAAGCGGUGGAGUAUGUGGUUUAAUUCGAUGCAACGCGAAGAACCUUACCAGGGUUUGACAUCCUGCGAAUCUCUUGGAAACGAGAGAGUGCC
This 917-nucleotide ribosomal RNA is filed under the name uncultured marine bacterium. Its description in RNAcentral is "bacterial SSU rRNA". It matches the Rfam family "Bacterial small subunit ribosomal RNA", at positions 56 to 1018 of the family's 1533-position model. The record is from RNAcentral.